This 2496-nucleotide ribosomal RNA is filed under the name Triticum aestivum (bread wheat). RNAcentral describes it as "partial small subunit ribosomal RNA". Lineage: Eukaryota; Viridiplantae; Streptophyta; Magnoliopsida; Poales; Poaceae. The record is from RNAcentral.
AACCCGCGAUUCAUCUGUUUCAUCUUAUCCAGACUCCCCGUCCUCGCGGCGCUUUACCUCGCGGCGCUCCGCUCCGCCCGCCCCGCCCACCUCCUGCUACGCCCCUCGCGCCGCCGGCCGCCUCCUGCCCCGCUCCGCCCCUCACCACGCGCCGCCGGCCUUCUCCUGCCUCCCAAUCCCAUCUCGCGGCUUUCUUCGCCGUUCACCGCUCCCCUCCACCUACUGGUCGCGACCUCGUGGGAGGCAGAGGAUGGGAGGGUGCGGCGCUGGCGUCCGACUCCAGGAGCUCGAGAGGGCCGAUCUGCGCAUCGGCGACCUCGCGGGAGGCAUGGCGUGGCGUGUUGCACUCGAGACGAGCGGGCUCGAGUAAGGGGAUUGGAGGGUGGCGCCGACGGGAUCGUGGACGGGGAUGGAGUGGGCGGGUGCCGGCAAGAUCGAGGCCGGGGAUGGAGAGGGCGGUCAGCGAGCUGGCGGCUGAGGAUGGAAGAGGCGGCACUAAUUUGCUGCUACCCGCACCGCACCACGUCCCUAGCUUCCUCCUCUCUGAUCGAACCGAGUCCGUUUUACAAAGGGAUCCGGCGACUAGAGGGGAGCUGCCACCGGUGACGCUGCCGGAGAAGCUGGCGAGGUUCCUCCAGAAGUGCGCCGAAGGAGUUCCAGAACGAGCCCCGGUAUAGCGGCGACCGGUGGUACCUUCGCGGCUGGGUUCUAGAUGAACAGGCAUGGUGGGAGGGCGAUGCUCUGUUGACUGCUUUUCUUAUAAUAUUACAGAGGGAGGAUCGAAGUGGAGAUUGGUACUUUCCCUUUCAGCGGCCAAAGAAAAGCAACACUUUUUCAUGUGAUUUCAGAUGAAACGACCAGAGUGUGUAAAAUCUGGAUCGCUACAAACAGGUCAAGGUUAGUUAUGUUUUUCCUUUUGAUAUUCUCUAGAUAAUGCUAUCAAGCAAGAUCAACUUAGGACAAUAUAAUCUACUAUUUACUUUCUUUGUGUUUCAGUACGUUCAAACUAUUUACAUGUGUGCAAAUGGGCAUAUUUUGAUUAUGCGACUUGGUGUCUUACUUGUUCUGCCUAACUGUUGGAUCCUAGCUCUUAUGUUAUCUACCUAUAGCCAGUGCAUGCCAAAAAAUAAAAAUAAAACCUAUGGCCAGUGAUAUGUUUAUGGCUGGAUGUCUACUGCUUCUGUCAAUGCCAUAGUAGAUUCAAUCGAAACUGAUAUAUCUGAACAACAAUUGUUUCAUUUCGAUCAUAUAACAUUAUUUUUGCUGAAAAAUCACAAUGUUUUCUUCAAGUUUGUGGGUGUUUUCCCUGAUCUGUUUGCAACUUGGCAUGAGAGUCCGUUUAUGCAUGUAGUUAUUUUGGUCCAGAAAUCGACCAUGGAUGAUGCUUCUUAUUUUGAAGAGACUAAGUUCUUCCGAGCCUCCGAUAAAAUAAAUAAAGAGGACUUUAAUGAGAUGAUGCUUCUUAUUUAAUGUUGUUAGAUCUCCUAAAAUAAUUUGAAGGCGUGGGGCUUGCUGGUCAAGUAGGUUGCGCCGCUCCAUCAGGAUGUCCUCCCCCACUGUAGUGUUAACUGAUUAAUCAUGCACAUCCAUUAAAGCAAAGAUUCAGAAAAAUGUUUAGUUCACUAAUUAAUCAGUCAGUAAAGGACCAAUUGUUUAAUCCUACUAUUUAGACACUCCAUCCAUCCAAUCCAGUGAGUUUAAAUUGAUUAAUCAUGCACAUUCUUAAAUUAUGAAGAGUAAAAAAAGAUUUUGGUGUUGGAGGAGCAGCCAGCAAGUGUAGUUUGCAAACCAAAUGCAGUUUCUAUAGUGAACACUGAUUUGCGACCUCAGCUCAGCCAUAUUGAACGGAUUGAUUGCUCUGUGAAAUAGGAGUUAGCCCAUAAUAGAAAUGCCACUCCAAUAUUGGAGGAAGUGUUGAUUGAGCUGAGAAAUUUACUUGACGAUGAAAGGAACAAUUUGCUUCAAAAUUUGCAGAAUAACUUCUCCAAGCUCUCAGAAGAGAAGCAAUAAUGUGACUCCCAGGUGCCUCUCUGAGAGAAAAGCUGGAGAUGCUUUGCCAGUGGCAAAACAAAGGGAAGUAAUUGCUACGGACGCCAGCCAGGUGUUCAUGCUAUUGGAUUAAUGUUUUCUGCUCUUAAUAAUGCUUCCGUUUUUCUUCUUUUAGAACCCUUCUUUUGUACUCUUACAAAUAGCAGAUGAAAGGAGAAGGAUGAAGAAGUCAAGCUAUUGGAGAGAUCAAUUGAGGAGCUCAAAAGAACUUUAGUGUUCUCAAAAGUAGCUUUAUUUAGUUUGAGUGAAUUUUGUGGCCUAAGUGUUGUAGCUAUUCAUUUUGCCACGCAUUCUGAAUGUUAGUACACACCCAUGUUGGUACAGAACUCCUAUUGUUAUGCCUGUUAUGACAACAACUUUCCCAGAUUUUUGUGCAUAAACAUACAUAUGUGGACUAAAUUCUUUUGUUACUUGCUCAGCCAAUACAUAUGUAUGCUUUUUUUUGCG